This 466-nucleotide small RNA is filed under the name Pongo abelii (Sumatran orangutan). RNAcentral describes it as "retained intron". The record is from RNAcentral. Lineage: Eukaryota; Metazoa; Chordata; Mammalia; Primates; Hominidae.
UCUAACCUUAGUUUAUCACUUGCUUUUAUGAAUUAUAAAAUGUUAUGAUACUAUAAUCUGUUUCUCAGGUUAUCUGUACUAUUUUAUCUACAUUUCUUUUAUUUUUCUAUAAUGUUUUAAUUUUAUUAUCUGAUAAUAUAUUCUAAUGUCUAGCGAUAGAAUACCCAUAAUCUUUCACCAAAUAUUUUGAGUUUAUUUGGGGAACACAAAUUAUGAAUAUGGAAUAUAUGUUCAACAUUUAGUUUUAUUCUUUUAUUUUAUCUAGCUUCGUUGGAUACCACUACCUGGGAAUAUCCAGAUGUCUGCAGACAUUAUUUCGGCUCCUUUGGGCAGUGGUCGAGUCUCCUUUUCUCCUUGGUGUCUCUCACUGGAGCAAUGAUAGUUUAUUGGGUGCUUAUGUCAAAUUUUCUUUUUAAUACUGGAAAGUUUAUUUUUAAUUUUAUUCAUCACAUUAAUGACACAGACA